UACGUAGGUGGCAAGCGUUGUCCGGAAUUAUUGGGCGUAAAGAGCGUGUAGGCGGCCAUACAGGUCAGCUGUGAAAACUCGAGGCUCAACCUCGAGACGUCGGUUGAAACCGUAUGGCUAGAGUCCGGAAGAGGAGAGUGGAAUUCCCGGUGUAGCGGUGAAAUGCGCAGAUAUCGGGAAGAACACCCGUGGCGAAGGCGGCUCUCUGGGCCGAUACUGACGCUGAGGAGCGAAAGCGUGGGGAGCGAACAGG
This 253-nucleotide ribosomal RNA is filed under the name uncultured bacterium. Its description in RNAcentral is "partial 16S ribosomal RNA". It matches the Rfam family "Bacterial small subunit ribosomal RNA", at positions 524 to 776 of the family's 1533-position model. The record is from RNAcentral.